This is a small nuclear RNA of Astatotilapia calliptera (eastern happy), 102 nucleotides long. Lineage: Eukaryota; Metazoa; Chordata; Actinopteri; Cichliformes; Cichlidae. The record is from Ensembl.
GUUACUUCUGUAGCACGUGUCCUUAUUCGUACGAUACAGAGAAGAUUAGCAUGGUCCCUGCGCAAGGUUGACACGCAAAUUUGCGAAGCGUUCCUCUUUUUU